GAUGAACGCUGGCGGCGUGCCUAAUACAUGCAAGUCGAGCGAACGGACGAGAAGCUUGCUUCUCUGCUGUUAGCGGCGGACGGGUGAGUAACACGUGGAUAACCUACCUAUAAGACUGGGAUAACUACGGGAAACCGGAGCUAAUACCGGAUAAUAUUUUCAACCGCAUGAUUCAAAAGUGAAAGACGGUCUUGCUGUCACUUAUAGAUGGAUCCGCGCUGCAUUAGCUAGUUGGUAAGGUAACGGCUUACCAAGGCAACGAUGCAUAGCCGACCUGAGAGGAUGAUCGGCCACACUGGAACUGAGACACGGUCCAGACUCCUACGGGAGGCAGCAGUAGGGAAUCUUCCGCAAUGGGCGAAAGCCUGACGGAGCAACGCCGCGUGAGUGAUGAAGGUCUUCGGAUCGUAAAACUCUGUUAUUAGGGAAGAACAUAUGUGGAAGUAACUGUGCACAUCUUGACGGUACCUAAUCAGAAAGCCACGGCUAACUACGUG
RNAcentral lists this ribosomal RNA (497 nucleotides) under uncultured bacterium. RNAcentral describes it as "partial 16S ribosomal RNA". It matches the Rfam family "Bacterial small subunit ribosomal RNA", at positions 28 to 507 of the family's 1533-position model. The record is from RNAcentral.